AUGGUUACAUUCACCGGGGAUGGUGUUGGGGCACUGUUUUCCCACCCCGCCCAUCAGCACGGGCUUAAGCUGGUAGUCACGGAGAAGCUGUUCCAGUGCGACGGCUGCAGGCAGAUCGGCGACAUGCAUAGGUACCGGUGCGAGCCAUGCGACUUUGACCUCCACGUAUGCUGCGCCCAGGCGCCGGCGCGCUUCGAGCAUUCCAUGUUCGAGGGCCGUGCGCUCACCUUCUUCCACAGCCGUCCCACGACCCCGCCAGGCGGCCUUGUGUGCUGCGACGUCUGCGCCGACCCGGUGCUGGGCUUCCUUUACCACAGCCUCGAGCACGACCUCGACCUCCACCCUUUCUGCGCAAUCAUGCCGAAGCGCAUCGGGGAGGACGGCGGCCGCGUGCUGGAACUCCACAAGGCCACCGGCCAUAGCUGCGGGCUGUGCGGGAAGGUUGGCGGAGGUUACUUGUCCUACCGCUUGCAGGACGACGACGGGAAGCUUGUGCACCUCCAUGUGGCGUGCAUGAUAGAGGCCAACUACACCAGCGACAGCCAGUUCGUGCAGGCCAACUCCAUGACGACUGGGGAGGUGAGUGCUCGCAGGGCGACGACAGGAGAGCUGGGCACGGUGCAGAACACGCCCAGGAGCAGGGGCAAAUUCAGGCUUAUCUGCAAAGUCGCCUUCCGCGUCGCGAAGCUCUCAGCCACUCAGUCGCCACUAUGA
This 714-nucleotide ribosomal RNA is filed under the name Triticum aestivum (bread wheat). RNAcentral describes it as "partial small subunit ribosomal RNA". Lineage: Eukaryota; Viridiplantae; Streptophyta; Magnoliopsida; Poales; Poaceae. The record is from RNAcentral.